UACGAAGGGGGCAAGCGUUGUUCGGAAUUAUUGGGCGUAAAGGGUGCGUAGGCGGUUUGGUAAGUCUUAUGUGAAAUCUACAGGCUCAACUUGUAGUCUGCAUGAGAAACUGCCGGGCUUGAGUAUGGCAGAGGGGGGUAGAAUUCCACGUGUAGCAGUGAAAUGCGUAGAGAUGUGGAGGAACACCGAUGGCGAAGGCAGCCCGCUGGGAUAACACUGACGCUCAUGCACGAAAGCGUGGGGAGCAAACAGG
RNAcentral lists this ribosomal RNA (253 nucleotides) under uncultured bacterium. RNAcentral's name for it is "partial 16S ribosomal RNA". It matches the Rfam family "Bacterial small subunit ribosomal RNA", at positions 524 to 776 of the family's 1533-position model. The record is from RNAcentral.